CCCUGGCUAUUCCCUCUUUUGAUCACAACCAACAUCGUUAUCAUCUUCAUUAGAACCAAACCUUCAUUUUCGUCGAAGAAGUCGUUAUCAUCUUCAUUAGAACCAAACCUUCAUUUUCGUCGAAGAAGAACCAGCAAAUGAAUUGUUUCUUCUCCAUUUUUGUUUCACUUUUAUGAAGUAAACCCUAGAUUCAGUUUUUUUUUCUUCCUCUUCAAAAUCUCUAACCCGAUUCUAAUCUAAGUUGAUAGAUGCUCACCAUGUUAUAAUCUAGAUUACCCAUAGCAUGUUUUCAUUCUCAAAUCAUCUACGAUUUAUAAAUUUUCGACCUAACUACAGAAAUUAGAGUUAAUCGAUUACAAGUGUUUUUCUCUGUUAUUGUGGGUGUUGUUGGCAUGAGAUUUCCCCCAAAAAUUCCUUCUCAUUUUUUAGAAGAUUUCUUUAUAAACCCAGUUUGACAGUCAUUAACUCUUUCAGGUAAUUUGGGGUUUUUUUCUUCAAAUGUCAGAUGUAGAACAAAGAUAUAAACCAAACCUUAGUUUUGAUUGAUUGUUUUUUCCUUUUCAAUUAGAUAUAAAUUCAACCUAUGAUUUGUUUGAUUUUACUGUAAUAAUGUCAAAUUAAUGGUAAAGAUGUCUUAAUUUUGUUUUGGUUGAUGAUAAAAUUUGGUAUUGCAGUAAAAUCAAUGCUAAAGAUUUGAUAUUUGCUGUAAAUGAAUGUGACUAGAAGAUGUCAAUGACUACUACCUUGAAAGCUUGGAGGAAAGUGAUGCAUGAUGUGGCUAAUUUUUUGUUUGUGAUGCAAGGGAGAGAUAUGAUAGGUAGAGAAAGAACUGGUACAUGGAGAAAAUCAUGAAAUUUAAUGAGGCACAUGGAACCAGGAUGAGAUGAUCAAGUUAGGCAGGCUCUCUGAAUCCUACAAGUGAAUUGGAUAGUGUUUUGGACGAACAAUGAAGGAAAAAGGGUUUGGAUCAUUGUGGAGAGGAAACACAUCCAAUGUCAUCCGUUAUUUCCCUACUCAGGUUGGAUCAUAUGUGUUGUCAAUCGAAAGAGUAAAAGGAGGCAGAUUUCGUCUACUCAAUUUAUGAGAAGAAUUCAUCCUCCUGCUGCAUAAGAUUAUCUAAUCUACAAAGAGAAAUCAAAUAUCCAAACAAUGCAACUUAAUGAAGAAGAGAACCACUUGAAAAUGGAGGUUGAAGAACGGAGAGCAGAAAACCCAGGAAGAGGAGGCUGUUGAGGUCGAUGCUGAUUUUACAAAUGGUGUUGUAUUUUGUAAACAGUAAUGAAGCUGAAGAAGAGUGGGGUAUGACUAAUGAAGGAAACUUAUCAUCCUAAAAAAUAUUGGUUUGGCUAAAUAGGUCGCACAUAUGAGCAAUAAGUGCCACUAUUUACAAGGAUGGUUAUGAAGAAACAAGAAGCUAUAUUUUUCUGAAUGAUGUUGAGCUUGUCUCCAGGUCCGGUGCCUUUAAGAUUGUAUCUACUACUGCUAUCACACUUAGAAAAUACUUAUAUACUUGUCAUUCUUUUGAUACUGCAUAGAAUUUGUAUGUCCAUGGAACUUAAGAAAUACUUCUAGCUAUAACUUGUAACUUAAGAAACUUACAUGUAUUGCCUAAGUUGUUGUUCUGUCA
This is a long non-coding RNA of Papaver somniferum (opium poppy), 1627 nucleotides long. RefSeq lists it as uncharacterized. The record is from RefSeq and is a predicted model, not a curated record. The transcript is spliced from 5 exons. NCBI's taxonomy places the organism in Eukaryota, Viridiplantae, Streptophyta, Magnoliopsida, Ranunculales, Papaveraceae.